This 450-nucleotide ribosomal RNA is filed under the name uncultured bacterium. RNAcentral's name for it is "partial 16S ribosomal RNA". It matches the Rfam family "Bacterial small subunit ribosomal RNA", at positions 354 to 796 of the family's 1533-position model. The record is from RNAcentral.
GUGGGGAAUUUUGGACAAUGGGCGCAAGCCUGAUCCAGCCAUUCCGCGUGCAGGAUGAAGGCCUUCGGGUUGUAAACUGCUUUUGUACGGAACGAAAAGGUUCUCUCUAAUACAGGGGGCUGAUGACGGUACCGUAAGAAUAAGCACCGGCUAACUACGUGCCAGCAGCCGCGGUAAUACGUAGGGUGCAAGCGUUAAUCGGAAUUACUGGGCGUAAAGCGUGCGCAGGCGGUUUUGUAAGACAGGCGUGAAAUCCCCGGGCUCAACCUGGGAAUUGCGCUUGUGACUGCAAGGCUGGAGUGCGGCAGAGGGGGAUGGAAUUCCGCGUGUAGCAGUGAAAUGCGUAGAUAUGCGGAGGAACACCGAUGGCGAAGGCAAUCCCCUGGGCCAGCACUGACGCUCAUGCACGAAAGCGUGGGGAGCAAACAGGAUUAGAAACCCUAGUAGUCC